GAUCCUUUCCGGGAUUCAGUGCCGCAGCUAACGCAUUAAGCACUCCGCCUGGGGAGUACGGCCGCAAGGCUAAAACUCAAAGGAAUUGACGGGGGCCCGCACAAGCGGCGGAGCAUGCGGAUUAAUUCGAUGCAACGCGAAGAACCUUACCAAGGCUUGACAUGUUCUCGAUCGCCGUAGAGAUACGGUUUCCCCUUUGGGGCGGGUUCACAGGUGGUGCAUGGUUGUCGUCAGCUCGUGUCGUGAGAUGUUGGGUUAAGUCCCGCAACGAGC
This 273-nucleotide ribosomal RNA is filed under the name uncultured Micrococcus sp. RNAcentral's name for it is "partial 16S ribosomal RNA". It matches the Rfam family "Bacterial small subunit ribosomal RNA", at positions 826 to 1097 of the family's 1533-position model. The record is from RNAcentral. Lineage: Bacteria; Bacillati; Actinomycetota; Actinomycetes; Micrococcales; Micrococcaceae.